Long non-coding RNA from Athalia rosae (coleseed sawfly), 692 nucleotides. RefSeq lists it as uncharacterized. The record is from RefSeq and is a predicted model, not a curated record. NCBI's taxonomy places the organism in Eukaryota, Metazoa, Arthropoda, Insecta, Hymenoptera, Athaliidae. The transcript is spliced from 2 exons.
GGAAUUUAAAAUAGUGUCACGUGACCGGAUUUGUCGCUGAAAACGAACGACCUCACCUCAAGUCGUUCAUUCAAAUAAAAAGACUAUAUCACCCUGACGUGGUUCAUACGCAACGUACCAUUUGAUGAAGGUGUAAGCACACACGCCUCUUCAGAUCUAAUAGAACGGUUCGCCGAGUUCAGUCAGCGAGUUCGCAAAGCACCGUACAGGCACAAAACCUCUGUUGACCUUCGCGAGGUCAACUUUCAUCCGCAUAAUAUUCACUCAGGCAGUAAAAAAUGACCGGAUAUGCACUCGGGCUCCGGCUUAACGACUUAUAACUAUACAUGGCAAGACUCGUCCAGGUGUCACUGCAUAUUUCGUCGCUCGUCAAACUUAAAUGUAUUCAAUAGUGUACUCCUAUAAACUAUGUCCUAUGAAAGCUUAGACUAAGUAAAUCUCUCACAGUACAGCCAGAUAGAUGAAGAAGCAAAAGUGUUUAGAAAUAUUGAGUGAUUCGUUAAUCGUCUUCAUCUUUGAUUGCAUAGCACAAAACAUAGCAAACCGGUGGGCAGAAAUAAAAGUCUUGAAUGUGUAAGACAAAGAAUUGAAUCAACCGACCUCUAAUACUACCAUUUCAAAUUUGAUAUAUGCCAGUUCUAUGUAAUAUAAAAGGAUUGACGUAAUUGAAUAAUUCAAUGAUUCAAAUUAAA